GGAUGGACCCGCGUCUGAUUAGCUAGUUGGUAAGGUAACGGCUUACCAAGGCGACGAUCAGUAGCCGACCUGAGAGGGUGAUCGGCCACAUUGGAACUGAGACACGGUCCAAACUCCUACGGGAGGCAGCCGUGGGGAAUAUUGCACAAUGGGCGAAAGCCUGAUGCAGCAACGCCGCGUGAGGGAUGAAGGCCUUCGGGUCGUAAAACUCUGUCCUCAAGGAAGAUAAUGACGGUACUUGAGGAGGAAGCCCCGGCUAACUACGUGCCAGCAGCCGCGGGAAUACGUAGGGGGCUAGCGUUAUCCGGAUUUACUGGGCGUAAAGGGUGCG
This 331-nucleotide ribosomal RNA is filed under the name Clostridioides difficile. Its description in RNAcentral is "bacterial SSU rRNA". It matches the Rfam family "Bacterial small subunit ribosomal RNA", at positions 223 to 571 of the family's 1533-position model. Lineage: Bacteria; Bacillati; Bacillota; Clostridia; Peptostreptococcales; Peptostreptococcaceae. The record is from RNAcentral.